This 743-nucleotide ribosomal RNA is filed under the name Salmonella enterica subsp. enterica serovar Enteritidis. RNAcentral describes it as "partial 23S ribosomal RNA". It matches the Rfam family "Bacterial large subunit ribosomal RNA", at positions 446 to 1190 of the family's 2925-position model. Lineage: Bacteria; Pseudomonadati; Pseudomonadota; Gammaproteobacteria; Enterobacterales; Enterobacteriaceae. The record is from RNAcentral.
GGGGGGACCAUCCUCCAAGGCUAAAUACUCCUGACUGACCGAUAGUGAACCAGUACCGUGAGGGAAAGGCGAAAAGAACCCCGGCGAGGGGAGUGAAAAAGAACCUGAAACCGUGUACGUACAAGCAGUGGGAGCACCCUUUGGGGUGUGACUGCGUACCUUUUGUAUAAUGGGUCAGCGACUUAUAUUCUGUAGCAAGGUUAACCGUAUAGGGGAGCCGGAGGGAAACCGAGUCUUAAUUGGGCGUUAAGUUGCAGGGUAUAGACCCGAAACCCGGUGAUCUAGCCAUGGGCAGGUUGAAGGUUGGGUAACACUAACUGGAGGACCGAACCGACUAAUGUUGAAAAAUUAGCGGAUGACCUGUGGCUGGGGGUGAAAGGCCAAUCAAACCGGGAGAUAGCUGGUUCUCCCCGAAAGCUAUUUAGGUAGCGCCUCGUGAAUUCAUCUCCGGGGGUAGAGCACUGUUUCGGCUAGGGGGCCAUCCCGGCUUACCAACCCGAUGCAAACUGCGAAUACCGGAGAAUGUUAUCACGGGAGACACACGGCGGGUGCUAACGUCCGUCGUGAAGAGGGAAACAACCCAGACCGCCAGCUAAGGUCCCAAAGUCAUGGUUAAGUGGGAAACGAUGUGGGAAGGCCCAGACAGCCAGGAUGUUGGCUUAGAAGCAGCCAUCAUUUAAAGAAAGCGUAAUAGCUCACUGGUCGAGUCGGCCUGCGCGGAAGAUGUAACGGGGCUAAACCAU